AAGUUUAGGUUAACACUAAACCAAGGACCUUCAAAGCCCUAAACAGAGCACUACACCUCUAACUUYU
RNAcentral lists this transfer RNA (67 nucleotides) under Pseudogekko compresicorpus (Philippine false gecko). Its description in RNAcentral is "tRNA-Trp". Lineage: Eukaryota; Metazoa; Chordata; Lepidosauria; Squamata; Gekkonidae. The record is from RNAcentral.